AUCGCUUCUCUGCCUUUUGGCUAAGAUCGAGUGUAGUAUCUGUUCUUAUCAGUUUAACAUCUGAUACGUCCUGUAUAUUAGGACUACAUAUCAAAUUGAUUUUUAGAACAGGGAGACGGAAGAGGGGCUUGCUCCCUUCGUGCCACGCAUUGACCUGGUAUUGCAGUACCUCUGGGAACAGUGCAUCUCCU
Small nuclear RNA from Pygocentrus nattereri (red-bellied piranha), 191 nucleotides. Its record names the gene U2. It matches the Rfam family "U2 spliceosomal RNA". Rfam says of the family: U2 is a small nuclear RNA (snRNA) component of the spliceosome (involved in pre-mRNA splicing). Complementary binding between U2 snRNA (in an area lying towards the 5' end but 3' to hairpin I) and the branchpoint sequence (BPS) of the intron results the bulging out of an unpaired adenosine, on the BPS, which initiates a nucleophilic attack at the intronic 5' splice site, thus starting the first of two transesterification reactions that mediate splicing. NCBI's taxonomy places the organism in Eukaryota, Metazoa, Chordata, Actinopteri, Characiformes, Serrasalmidae. The record is from Ensembl.